This is a long non-coding RNA of Neopsephotus bourkii (Bourke's parrot), 1876 nucleotides long. RefSeq lists it as uncharacterized. Lineage: Eukaryota; Metazoa; Chordata; Aves; Psittaciformes; Psittacidae. The record is from RefSeq and is a predicted model, not a curated record. The transcript has 4 exons.
CACUUGCUGUGAUGGGGUGUUGCAGUGAUUCUCCCCCUGUACAAUGAGACGUUGCACAUCUGUCUUAAUGUUCCUCUGGAUACCAUCUUAAAGCCUUGAUGGAGGGAAAAGAGACAAGAGAAGAUGUUCUGAUCUUCUGUAGUGACCUGGUGGCUUCACAGCAGAAGGUCAGGGCAGAUUUACCCUAACUUGCACCACUGGCUGAAUGAACCCAUUUGCCCUAGAACUGGAGGAAUGCUAGUGCAGCCUUAGUGUCAACAAGCUAUCAGCCUGUUCAGAGGUUUCAUUCUCUUUAGUUAUUUUUGACCCUGUCAACUAAGUAAGUUGUGAAGUAUUUCUACUCCAGGCCAGGAUUUGCACUCUGAAUACAUGUAAGCGACUGCACUGAGCAGGAAAUCUGGAUCCAACUCCUCGCACAAAAUAGUUUUGCUGACUGUGAGUGAGACCGAGAGGAUAUGUUUGGAAGUCAUUUAUUUGCAAAGAAAAGUUUUCUAAAUGCCUUGGGUCUAUGAACACUAUGCCAAAAUGUUCCUGUGACCAGAAUCUUCACAUGCCACCUAUUUCCAAAGGGAAAGUGAAAUCUCCAUGAGCAGCCUGCAUCAGGGACAGUAGCUCACUACUGCAAAAUGGGCCUGCACUUGUUUUUGACUUGCAGCCAACCUACUGAUGUCAGGUGUGGGAGCACCAGCUGGCUCACUUCAUCCAACGUCUGGGUUCAGACUACCCACACUGGCCAUCUUCAUGGUGGAGCUUUGGUGCAGGAGCCACACUUGAACUGCUUAAGACCUACAUGCGACUAAGAGCCACCUGCCCAUCAGCUAAGAUUUCAACCAUUAUUUUAUGUCUUUGAUCUCUCAUUUUCAUGGUGCCUUGUUUCUGUCUCCACUGCAGGUAUUUCAGUGCUGUAUACUGAAAAUGUGACUCAUACAGUUGCCAUUCCCCAGCCCUACCUGAUUACACUCCUCUGUGAUUUGCUCACUAGCUAUAUCUGAUAAACAACACACAACAGGAAGACAAGAGAAGCAUAGUUCCAAGGGACACUUCUGCCUCAGGAGAGUCCUGCUAGAAGGCAUGCUCCCUUGCUACACCUGGGCAGGCUCUCAUCCUUCUCCUGGCCUACUUGGAGAGGCGUCAGUACUAGGACAUUUCAUUCUGGAAUGCUACAGAAACAGCCUCCCACACAAUAAAGCACGCUCCACAGGUGGAAGGGUGAAGAGCUUUUCCUUUGGCCCACACAAGGAGACGAGAGCUGAUUACCAGUGCUAAAGCAACACAGGACUAGUCCAACUGUUAACAUCCAAGUGUGAUGUGAAUCACUUUAAUGGAGAAUGAUCCAGAUGGCAUGCGUGUAGCAGGAACAAAACUUCAUGUGCAAACUCUUCAGCAUGAGGUUAUGUUAACAACAUGUAUUUCAAGAAUUAUCCAGUGAUAAUAACCUAAAUGCUGAUUCCAAAAUUCUGAAUAACCCAGAGAAGAUCUGACACGGGAAGACCACAGGCUACCUGGCUGAGGGAGAGAGGCAGUCUGCAAGAAGCACAAAGUGAUGGCAAAGAAAAAAUUUGGCAAAUAGUCAGAAAAGAUCUUACUUGCAAAAAACCCCAGUCCUUUGGAUCAUGACAGCCAGGUCAUGACUGAUAUACAGACAGCUGCAAAAAGCCAUCUUAACAGCAGUCUAACCAACUAUGCAGACAGUGAUGUCACACCUGGGUAUGAGUUGGCACAGGAAGCCCAUAUCACUUGUGUACAAAAUAUGAUAAUGUAGAAGUAGUCAGCACAGUGCUGUGCUCCCAAAAUCUUGUAGAUGAGCUGCAUAGGAUAUUAUUGAGACAGAGCAUAGAGUCUAUUACCCCUGCAACUGCUGCUUUGAGCUGUUCCU